GCGAGAGUGGCGGAACUGGCAGACGCGCCAGACUUAGGAUCUGGUGAGGAAACUCAUAGGGGUUCGAGUCCCCUCUCUCGCA
Molecule: transfer RNA, 82 nt
Filed under: Pseudomonadota bacterium
Lineage: Bacteria; Pseudomonadati; Pseudomonadota
Also listed under: 1 other name
Description: tRNA-Leu
Rfam family: tRNA
About the family: Transfer RNA (tRNA) molecules are approximately 80 nucleotides in length. Their secondary structure includes four short double-helical elements and three loops (D, anti-codon, and T loops). Further hydrogen bonds mediate the characteristic L-shaped molecular structure. tRNAs have two regions of fundamental functional importance: the anti-codon, which is responsible for specific mRNA codon recognition, and the 3' end, to which the tRNAs corresponding amino acid is attached (by aminoacyl-tRNA synthetases). tRNAs cope with the degeneracy of the genetic code in two manners: having more than one tRNA (with a specific anti-codon) for a particular amino acid; and 'wobble' base-pairing, i.e. permitting non-standard base-pairing at the 3rd anti-codon position.
Source: RNAcentral